UAAAAAGGCACAACCUUAGACUAAAGGAC
Molecule: non-coding RNA, 29 nt
Filed under: Mus musculus (house mouse)
Lineage: Eukaryota; Metazoa; Chordata; Mammalia; Rodentia; Muridae
Source: RNAcentral